UUCAGCAAGUGGAUGGGAGCGGCAGCCUUUGAAAGCAUCCAGGAACCUGCUGGGUCUUUUUUCCUAAACGCCAGUGGGUAAGGUGCUUGGCAGAGCCACAGCCUGCACUGGUAACAGGAGCCAGGCGAGCUGCCAGCUGCUCAGCAUGUCCUCAGAACAGUGUCCAAAGAAACUUUCCAGGAAACAAACAGAGCCUUGGAGGAUCCCCUAAAGAUACUGACAGCAGACUGCAGGAAAUAAACUUAAAAAUAUGAAGCCCACAUUUCCAAGAGGAUCACUCCAGCUGUUAUUUGAAGAAGAGACUGAAGGCCACAGUCAAAAUUAUGUCAAGAAUGUGGGGCUUCAGUGCACAACAAAGCUCUCCCUGAAGUGACUGUACAGGAGGUCAAGCUGUCUACCUGUCUGUCUUGUGACAGAACCACACUCCCCGGCCUGCGAGUUCAGACGCAGGCAUGUGAUUAACAUUAGCACACACUCCAAAUUGAGAAAAAGAGUUGAGAAAAAUUUGUUUCCUUUCUACUACUAUGGUAAAAACGUAUUCUAGAAGCCAUUUGUGAGUUCUUGAGUGCAGAUAAAAUGGAGCAGAAACACCCAUUUCAAUGCAGUGUACAUGGAGUAACAGCAGGAAAUAAACCUGUUAUCUAAGCCAGCAGGAGUUGAAAGUGGUCUGUCUGGAGCCAGCCUAGCUCACCAAGACCCAGAGUAGUAGGUUGGCAAAUGACAGAAAACAAAUGUAGAGUGGAUGAGUCUUCGUGGUAAAUCUGCAGAGCCUGCUGAUGAGUUAGGUGCUGGGUGUUGGAAGGGAAAUAGAAGAUGGUUUGUCGGGAAUUCAACCUGAGUCACUAGGUGAAUGAUAGUGAGGACGCACAAAGUGGGAGGCUGGUGAGGAUGCUCACCCAGCCAGGCUGGCCACAUUUAAAUAAUGGCUGAAUGUGUAUUAGUUGUGGACUCUCUCGUGGAUGUUCUUUCAUCUGUGAAAUGAAAAUAAAAGCAGCAUUUAUUUCAUGCAACUAUCUAACCAACUAGCCUCAAAGCACCUAGUCCUGGUCUCAUAUUCUCUUUAGAGCUAAAGCAUAAAGUUUAAACUUUUCUCUCCAAGAGAGGACUGAUCAGAUUGGCAUUAGAGCUCCAAAAUAAAUGACAGUGUUGCUGUCCUUAUUGUCUUCACAUCUAA
Molecule: long non-coding RNA, 1174 nt
Organism: Myodes glareolus (Bank vole)
Lineage: Eukaryota; Metazoa; Chordata; Mammalia; Rodentia; Cricetidae
Source: RefSeq, a predicted model, not a curated record